AGAGCGAACGCUGGCGGCAGGCCUAAUACAUGCAAGUCGAACGGAUCCUUCGGGAUUAGUGGCGGACGGGUGAGUAACACGUGGGAACGUACCCUUUGGUUCGGAACAACUCAGGGAAACUUGAGCUAAUACCGAAUGUGCCCUUCGGGGAAAAGAUUUAUCGCCAUUGGAGCGGCCCGCGUCUGAUUAGCUAGUUGGUAGGGUAAAGGCCUACCAAGGCUACGAUCAGUAGCUGGUCUGAGAGGAUGAUCAGCCACACUGGGACUGAGACACGGCCCAGACUCCUACGGGAGGCAGCAGUAGGGAAUCUUGCGCAAUGGGCGAAAGCCUGACGCAGCCAUGCCGCGUGAAUGAUGAAGGUCUUAGGAUUGUAAAAUUCUUUCAGCGGGGACGAUAAUGACGGUACCCGCAGAAGAAGCCCCGGCUAACUUCGUGCCAGCAGCCGC
RNAcentral lists this ribosomal RNA (446 nucleotides) under uncultured bacterium. RNAcentral describes it as "SSU rRNA". It matches the Rfam family "Bacterial small subunit ribosomal RNA", at positions 26 to 518 of the family's 1533-position model. The record is from RNAcentral.